This 412-nucleotide ribosomal RNA is filed under the name uncultured microorganism. Its description in RNAcentral is "bacterial SSU rRNA". It matches the Rfam family "Archaeal small subunit ribosomal RNA", at positions 330 to 745 of the family's 1478-position model. The record is from RNAcentral.
GUGCAGCAGGCGCGAAACCUCCGCAAUGCGGGCAACCGCGACGGGGGACCCCAGUGCCGUGGCAUCGCCACGGCUUUUCCGGAGUGUAAAAGCUCCGGGAAUAAGGGCUGGGCAAGGCCGGUGGCAGCCACCGCGGUAAUACCGGCGGCCCGAGUGGUGGCCGCUAUUAUUGGGCCUAAAGCGUCCGUAGCCGGGCCUGUAAGUCCCUGGCGAAAUCCCACGGCUCAACCGUGGGGCUUGCUGGGGAUACUGCAGGCCUUGGGACCGGGAGAGGCCGGGGGUACCCCUGGGGUAGGGGUGAAAUCCUAUAAUCCCAGGGGGACUGCCAGUGGCGAAGGCGCCCGGCUGGAACGGGUCCGACGGUGAGGGACGAAGGCCAGGGGAGCGAACCGGAUUAGAUACCCCUGGUAGU